UCUCAGGAAGUAAUCACAAAUCAGGGAGCCU
RNAcentral lists this non-coding RNA (31 nucleotides) under Mus musculus (house mouse). Lineage: Eukaryota; Metazoa; Chordata; Mammalia; Rodentia; Muridae. The record is from RNAcentral.